GUGGGUUGAGUUUUUAUUUUAAGGCAGAUGAAUCUGUAAACUCAAAUCAGACUUUCCAUGGAAAAGAUGCACUCACCCUUUCUGAAAUUAUUGUUUUCAUACAAAUCUUUUCCGGAUGAUAUUUUCUGGGAAUUGAGGAUGAGGAUAAUCUCAGCAUUUCGUUUAUUUGUGGAUUGCAUGCAUCAUUUGAUUGCGCUCAUCCGUCCUGGCCAAAUCUGGACACAGGAAUGGAAAAGGGUGCUCCCACACUUGGUUCACUUGCCUGGUCCGAACCCGAGUUCUGGUGCUCCCCCCUGCCCCCGCUGGACUGUGUUCAUAUUAUAAUAUUUGAGUCCGAAACCGCGGUUUGCUUGCAUCAUCAAACCAGCAGCUGUUUACCCCCGUUGCUUGGUAACGACAGCGCAGGAGAAUGCGCUUCGGUACAUAACGGCACUUGCGUCUGUCUUACGAAUGUACUGAAAAUACUCCAAAGAGCAUUGAAGGUGAACAUAAAUGAGAUGUACAGCUCUCUGCUUGCAGCGCGUCAGUCACGCUCAUCAGGAAAGUCAUGGAUGAACGACCCAUGAAAAGAGGAGCUGAGCAAGAACACCAGCUGGGUGUACCAUCUGUCGCUGUGCAAUGUAGUGGACGGGCUGGGCAGAUGCCACCAUUGAGCUGGAUAGAAACCAAGCACAACAAACUGAUACGAAACAAAAACAAGCUGGACCCUGGAUGUAGUGGCAUGCUCGAUGAACAAGCAGUGAGCAGCAAAACAUGCCUGGAGGAAAUGCCACAGUAUGCACAUUCAAACCAUGCACUUAUGCUGAAUGCAAGACCGUGGAGUAGUGGGAGACAUGGCUGGAGAAGCACACAACCGUGAGUGAAAAUGAGUCCCCCACUGAAGCCAUCAAUCAACGUAAUGGAUAUGAGACAGGACAUCUCUAGAGAUGCGGCAGUGAAACUCUGCCCCUUUUAUUCCAUCACCACUGCUCUGAACGGCAGCCUCGGGAGACCAGGAGCAGGACAAUACCAGCCUUUCACUCAAGCAAGCAGCUCCAGUGAUUAGUCACAGGACAUUUACGACUGCCCGUGAUUCAACAACCAGGUCGCAUAAUUUUGGCACUGCAGGCCCUGGCCUAGUGACUGAGAUGAAUACGAAUGAUUUUCUAAAUCGGACACUUAGGUGCUUAGAUAUCAUGCUGACGUAGAAGGACCGUGCAUGAAGGUGGCUCACUAGUCUUUGGAACAAAUUAGGAGCCCCAGGACAGCUGAAGCAUUGCAGGAACAACUGGAGUAGUCAACUGUGGGAGCCUCCGAGGAUUCCGGAGCCUGAAUUAGUGACUCUAUUUACAUUUGGCCCAUGCACACUGUUAGAAUCCCCUAUUUUUUGGGAGCACUGGGAUCUAAUAAUUCAUAAUAAAUAACUUUUCACGGUGGCUGAAAGAACAGUAUGCAAUACUUCAAAUCUGCAAGCCCUUUUCAGCUUCCAAGGAAACUCUCGACGGAAUGCAUCGUUCUCUCAUGCGAUUUUAAAGAGGUGCAAAUAAACGGUGAAAAUUUGCAAGCGAGACUAGACGUUUUAGUGAAAGCGGACUACAUUUAUAGAUGUAGAUCUUGUGUUUUGCCACGGAACAAGCCUCAGUCUAUUUCUAGCAUGUGUUUUGUCCCUGUGAGUCAACUUAGUGUAGCCUGACACCUGACAGAUGUACCGGCUGCACUUUUAAUUAUGAUGCAGGCCCCAACCCAAACUCAUUAAAACAUCUUGAAUAACAAAGGCUGGAUUGUCUGAGAUCAUUUGUCCCGCAGAAAACAAAAUGCUGUAUUCCAGAUGAGCUGAUAAUUUGGCAUAAUAAAUGGAAAGCCGACUGCCUCACGCGUGGAAGAUUUAUCUCUGUUGAGCUCGGUGGUCAUUGUUCUUACUCACUGGCUGUAAAUUGAUGGGUUGUUGCAGAGUUGUAAGAGCCAGAUCUUCUGCCCCAGGUCCCUUUGAACAGAACAGAUGGAGCACAAUUGUCACCUACAGUAGCUUUUUCUCUGGUGGUGCUCAUAAUGAAUUUCAAAAUUAUUUAUAUAAAAUUAUAUAGAUGAUAUGAUAUGAUAUGAAUGUAUGUUUAUUAAUUGAUUGAUCUGGGAUAGUCAUUUAAAUUCAAUGUAAAUAAAAUCUUAAGAAUCUAAAUUACUAUAGUGAAUACAUUUUCCGAGUUAUUUCAGAUAAAUAUAAAAAAAAGAUAUGGCUAAAUUAAGUGAAUUCUUUAAAGUUAUUUUCUAUACAGUUCACAAAUUUGGUUUGAAUGAUUCCCUUGCAAACUGUUUCGAAUUUAUUUAUUAAUCCAAAUGUUCCAACAUUGGUAAUGACAGCAUUUUUCAUGAGCUAUUCAUAAUGAAAAUAUAUUUUAAAGUUAUGUAAAAUGUAUUAAAAACUAAGUAUUUCUUUGAAUAGUAUGAAUAUCUACAC
Molecule: long non-coding RNA, 2434 nt
Organism: Carassius gibelio (silver crucian carp)
Lineage: Eukaryota; Metazoa; Chordata; Actinopteri; Cypriniformes; Cyprinidae
Exons: 9
Source: RefSeq, a predicted model, not a curated record